GUGAGGAAUAUUGCGCAAUGGAGGCAACUCUGACGCAGCCAUGCCGCGUGCAGGAAGAAGGCGCUACGCGUUAUAAACUGCUUUUAACCGGGAAGAAACCCCAGGACGUGUCCUGGGUUGACGGUACCGGAGGAAUAAGCACCGGCUAACUUCGUGCCAGCAGCCGCGGUAAUACGAAGGGUGCAAGCGUUAUCCGGAUUCAUUGGGUUUAAAGGGUGCGUAGGCGGAGCGUUAAGUCAGUGGUGAAAUCCUGCAGCUUAACUGUAGACUUGCCAUUGAUACUGGCGCUCUUGAGUGCGCUUGAAGUGGUCGGAAUGUGUCGUGUAGCGGUGAAAUGCUUAGAUAUGGCACAGAACACCAAUUGCGAAGGCAGCUCACUAAGGCGAUACUGACGCUGAGGCACGAAAGCGUGGGGAUCGAACAGGAUUAGAAACCCUUGUAGUCC
RNAcentral lists this ribosomal RNA (445 nucleotides) under uncultured bacterium. RNAcentral's name for it is "partial 16S ribosomal RNA". It matches the Rfam family "Bacterial small subunit ribosomal RNA", at positions 354 to 796 of the family's 1533-position model. The record is from RNAcentral.